CCUGCAAGAGUCAGGUGAGGCCAAUAAAAGUGAGAAGCUAGUAAAAGUAAAUCAUUUAAAUUUUGAAGUAAAUAGAAAGACUGAUUUUAUGAUAUAUAAUUUAUGAGCAACCAAAAUCAAAGUGGAAUCCGGGCAUAUGUACAUCUGAAGCAUGCCGAAGAUACGUAGUUCACUUAAAAUCGUUCACUUGGAAGAAGAGUAAUUCUACUGUCUGGGCCAGUUGAACUUUACCAGCAAUUGCUUGUUGUUGUUGAAUGUUGCUGACUUCUUCAUGAAGGUUUUUAUAAACUUAUAGCCAUCAACUGAUUUGGCUAUGGUAGACCAGCCACUCACUGGCAAUCUUAUCCCCAAUGUGUUACAGUAUAUACAUAUGAUUAUGGAUUGAGGAGGCUCUACCUCGUGUAAUGGAUGAUGUUAUGCUAGAUUUUACUAGCAUUCCUUUAUAAAAUUUGUUGUUGCUUUCUGUCAACAACAAAAAAAAAUGUUCUCAUGGCGAGAAAUACAUAUGUUGUCUCUAAAAGUAAAUAAAAAAAGAAUAUAAAGUGAAUAAAAAGGAAUUUAAAGUAAACCUAUUAGCUCAAGUGGUAGAGCACUAUGCGGAUGCAUAGAGGUUUAGGUUCGAUUCCUACCUAGGUUCUCUGAAAAAUACAUAUUAAAACACUUUAAAGUUAUUCAAAAUAGCUCAAAAGUAAAUCAAAAUAACUAAAAAGUAAAUCACAUUAGCUCUAAAGUAUAUGAAGAAUAAAUUAGCUUUAAAUGAUAAAUUACAAUGGAAACUUUGUUAUAUACUUAUAUCACAAUAACUCCGAGUCAUUAACUUUCAUAUCCUCAAAAGAUGAGUCAAGUUAUAAGAAACAAAUAUAUUUAGUUUAAUGUAGAGGUUUUCAAAUUUAGAGUAAAUAAAACUAUAUUGAAAGUAAAAAAAAAAAAAA
Molecule: long non-coding RNA, 932 nt
Organism: Chenopodium quinoa (quinoa)
Lineage: Eukaryota; Viridiplantae; Streptophyta; Magnoliopsida; Caryophyllales; Amaranthaceae
Exons: 3
Source: RefSeq, a predicted model, not a curated record